Molecule: ribosomal RNA, 162 nt
Filed under: Psychotria poeppigiana
Lineage: Eukaryota; Viridiplantae; Streptophyta; Magnoliopsida; Gentianales; Rubiaceae
Description: 5.8S ribosomal RNA
Rfam family: 5.8S ribosomal RNA
About the family: 5.8S ribosomal RNA (5.8S rRNA) is a component of the large subunit of the eukaryotic ribosome.
Source: RNAcentral
AACGACUCUCGGUAACGGAUAUCUCGGCUCUCGCAUCGAUGAAGAACGUAGCGAAAUACGAUACUUGGUGUGAAUUGCAGAAUCCCGUGAACCAUCGAGUUUUUGAACGCAAGUUGCGCCCAAAGCCAUUAGGCUAAGGGUACGUCUGCCUGGGCGUCACGC